GCCUUAAAAAACAAACAGAAAAACCCCAAAAACAACAACAACGAAAAACCAAAAACCAAACAUCUGUGAUGGAAAGUGUGGGCUGGCACUCAACAUCCAUUUUAACCUCCUUCCACUGAGCCUUCUACUACAAGCAGCUGGGAAGCUAAAUGCCUUGUUUUCCAGAAUCUCUUGCAGCUGGAGCUCAAAAUGCCAAGGAGAUGCCCUCAUGCCAGACUUAGAAGGCAGGCGUAAAGUGGAAGCCAUCUUCCUGCUGCUUCCCCAGUUUUCUGCUGGCAAGUGGCAUCGUGGAGAUGUUGGUUUUUCCACAGCAGCUUCAUGGGUAAUGGGAGGCAGAUGUGGUUGUGGUGGCAAGCAACAGCUUCCUCUUCCUGAGAUGAAAGCUCCAGUCAACAAACCCAGCAGGUGCUCCACCUUCCUGAUGUGGCAGCUUCUGUGAGGGGCCAGUUUGGGGGUGUGAUUCUGAGAGCCAUUCCCGAAGGACCCGUCGGGAGCCCGUCUCUAGCACGUCCAGCAAUUUUGUUUCUAGUGCUCAGUGGUUGCCUCUCUUUAAGGAAUAAUGAAGCAAAUUUUUUCUCAGAGAGUAGCCGUCAGGAUAGGCUAGAAUACCUAUACCAGACCAUCCUCAAGUCUCAGCGGCUUCACAAUACAGAGACUACUCUUAGCACCACAACCAGAACGAUUUCUGAAAAAUCUACUGCAUGAUGUCAAGUUUCUGCUCAAUGCCUUCCAAUGGCGCCUAUAUGAAAGCCGGAGUCCUUAGACUAAUUCUAGACUGAUGUGCUGGAGUUCUCAUUGUGGCUCAGUGGUUAACAAACCCCACUAGCAUCUGUGAGGAUGCAAGUUUG
Molecule: non-coding RNA, 848 nt
Organism: Sus scrofa (pig)
Lineage: Eukaryota; Metazoa; Chordata; Mammalia; Artiodactyla; Suidae
Source: RefSeq, a predicted model, not a curated record